GCAAACUUGGUCAUUUAGAGGAAGUAAAAGUCGUAACAAGGUUUCCGUAGGUGAACCUGCGGAAGGAUCAUUAUCGAGUUAGGGUCUUCAUAGGCCCGACCUCCCAAACCUGUGUCUACUGAACCACUGUAGCUUCGGCGGGCCCGUCCCCUUAUCUGGGGGGACCGCCGGGGGACCGUUACACGUCUCCUGGCCCGUGUCCGUCGGUGGCCAACAACUUCAAACUCUUGAUUAGCCGUGUCUAGUUCUGAUUAUUAUUCAUAAAUACAAAGCAAAAACUUUCAACAACGGAUCUCUUGGUUCUGGCAUCGAUGAAGAACGCAGC
Molecule: unclassified non-coding RNA, 325 nt
Filed under: uncultured fungus
Lineage: Eukaryota; Fungi
Description: partial contains small subunit ribosomal RNA, internal transcribed spacer 1, and 5.8S ribosomal RNA
Rfam family: Eukaryotic small subunit ribosomal RNA (bases 1-73)
Source: RNAcentral